RNAcentral lists this ribosomal RNA (301 nucleotides) under uncultured bacterium. RNAcentral describes it as "partial 16S ribosomal RNA". It matches the Rfam family "Bacterial small subunit ribosomal RNA", at positions 509 to 808 of the family's 1533-position model. The record is from RNAcentral.
CAGCAGCCGCGGUAAUACGUAGGGGGCAAGCGUUAUCCGGAAUAACUGGGCGUAAAGGGUGCGCAGGUGGUUUAACAAGUUAGUGGUGAAAGGCAUAGGCUCAACCAAUGUAAGCCAUUAAAACUGUUUAACUUGAGUGCAGGAGAGGAAAGUGGAAUUCCUAGUGUAGCGGUGAAAUGCGUAGAGAUUAGGAGGAACACCAGUGGCGAAGGCGGCUUUUUGGCCUGUAACUGACACUGAGGCGCGAAAGCUAGGGGAGCAAAUGGGAUUAGAGACCCCUGUAGUCCCUGUCUCUUAUACA